UGACUGUGUGCUGUUGUGUGCAUGUGUGGCCGUCAGUGUUGCUACUGGACAGAGCUUGGGUCUGCUCGCCAGAUCACAGCAAAGCCAGCCUACUGAUGCUGUGUUGUGAUGAAGGAGAGUACAGUGGUGUGUUUUUGUUUUUGUUUUAAUUAAGAUUUAUUUAUUUGUUUUGGCUGUGCUGGGUCUUCGUUGCUAUGUGUGGGCUUUCUCUAGUUGCUGCCAGUGGGGGCUGCUCUUUGUUGCAGAGUGCAGGUUUCUCAUCGUGGUGGCUUCUGCUGUUGUGGAGAGCCGUGGGCUCUAGGGCGCGUUGGCCUCGUUGCAGUACAUGGGCUCAGUAGUUGCAGCUUGCGGGCUCUGGAGCCCGGGCUCAGUAGUUAUGGUACACAGGCUUAGUUGCUCCACGGCAUAUGGCAUCUUCCCGGACCAGAGAUCAAACCAGUGUCCUCUGAAUUGGCAGGUGGAUUCUUAACCGAUGAACCACCAGGGGAGCCCCUACAGUGAUUAUUAUUGCAGGUGCCAAGCAAGGAGACCAGGCAGCUCAUGUUCAAAAGACCCAAACUACCCGAUGGCUUUCAGAGAAGGCAGUGUUUGGGUUGAGGGCUGCAGCUCAUGAACUUUCUUCUGAUUCUUUGGUGAUGAGUGGGCCCCACAGCUUUUUCGCAGGGAGAAAUGACAGAUGACACCCAGCUCGUCCCGGUGACACGCAGGGUUGGGGUCUCUGGGACACCCACCAAGCAGGGACCCACAAGACCAGGAUGCUUGACUGAUGGAACCAGAGGCUCCACCCCUCCACGGCCAGUGCUGGGUGUUUGUGUUUUCAAUCGAUACAGGGCUUUUUCAAUGACAAGGGACCGGCUGCCGUCAGACCUGUGCAGUGGGCAGCUGCUGGUUCCAUGGGCGCGUCCUGGGUGGGACUGUGGGUUUGUGCAGGGAGAGAGAGCAUGUGUAGGGAAGGGGCUGAGGGCCCAGCAGACAGAGCAAGGCCAGGGACAGGAAAGGGAGGACAUCUGACCUCUGCUCGAGCUGCUCCUUCUCGUUGUGUCCAGAGACGCCACUGGGCUUGCUGCAAGACAGAAGUAACUUUUCACUGGGGAAAGGAAAGUGGUAGACAGAGCCGCUGUGAGAAGUGUAUCCAACAUCGUAUCUAGCUCCAGACCAGUCACAUGUCAGUCCUCAGGCCCUAAUCGCCCGUCCACCGUGUCUGAGACGUAACUGCAGCCGGAAGAUGAAUGGACCAGCUGACCCUGGCCCUGGGCCCUGGCCUCUGAUGGACUCUGCCCCCCACCUCCUCUGCCGCCCCGUUUCUUCUCUCCACCCCACCGGGCACAUCAGGCUCCAGACACCCGCCUCUGGUGGACCCUCAGUAACUACCCGCCAGAUGAAGGACAGGAUUGCCACUGCCUUUUGCAGCAGGCAGGUCCGAACUCUUCCCGGCGGCCUCACCUGGAUCUCAGCCUCCAACCAGCAGAGCGCUGGGCACCAGGUGGGGCAGCCGAUGAAGCUGGUCUUCUUGGGGGAUUUGUUGACAGCAUUUGAAAACAGCAAGUAAUGAUGACACGUACGUGAAAUGGACUAUUACGUCCCCAAGAAAAAUCUAAUUAAACGAGAAAAGUGUAUGUGGAAAAGCCACGUCCCACCCUGUGAACACCACGUGGCACCAUGUUAGGAAACACGCGAGUGAAGAGGUGACCAGCCUGCUGUUAGAAGUGACUGUCAAAGCUUCAUAAAUACACAUUUCU
Long non-coding RNA from Bos taurus (domestic cattle), 1739 nucleotides. The record is from Ensembl. Lineage: Eukaryota; Metazoa; Chordata; Mammalia; Artiodactyla; Bovidae.